GGUCAAUGAUGUAUUGGCAUGUAUUACCUGAAUUUACUGCUGAUGUGUAAUACUUAGCUCUAGAAUUACACUGAGACCUU
Ictidomys tridecemlineatus (thirteen-lined ground squirrel) is the source of this 80-nucleotide small nucleolar RNA. Lineage: Eukaryota; Metazoa; Chordata; Mammalia; Rodentia; Sciuridae. The record is from Ensembl.